Molecule: long non-coding RNA, 306 nt
Filed under: Arabidopsis lyrata
Lineage: Eukaryota; Viridiplantae; Streptophyta; Magnoliopsida; Brassicales; Brassicaceae
Description: long non-coding RNA (ALYR_LNC003354)
Source: RNAcentral
AAGUUUUAAUAUAUAACUUCAUAAUUACAGUAAAGUUGGUGGAGGAUAUUUUAUAUAUGUACGGACCAAGUUUAUUCAUUGUCAAAACUCAAAACACGUGUAGAGUUGAAGUCAAGCACGCGUAGAAUUGCACAAGUAACACGACGUCGCGAGGAAGAAGUGCUAAACAUACACUUACUCACAAGUCAGAAGCUCUUAAUUAAUUUCUUUUUUUGUUUUGCUUACUUUUUUUUUUAUGAAUCAAGUCAUAUAUAAGUUGACCACUCCAAAUAAAAAUAACAAACUAUUUAUAUAUUUAUAUAUACU